GUGAGCGAGAGGACAGAGAGAGCGCUAGCUAGGAGCGAAUGGCGUACGUGUGUUGGCGUGGGUUGUGGCCCACAGCAGUCCGGGUGUGAGUGAACAGUUAUAAAGUUGACCGCUAUCAAUAAAGCGACGAAGUGCAUCGGCGACGUGAGUGUCUCUUCCUUAACCACAACCGGGGCAUUACAAUAUGUAUAAAUAUGUCAGAGACGUACAAUAUCAGGGUUAGCAAAAUGGAUACGUAAGUCUAGGGCGGGGGUUUCAAACUCAAUUUACCUGGGGGCCACUGGAGCUAAGUUCUGGGUGAGGCUGGGUUUUCAAAAACAUUUUUCAAAUUAAAAACAGGGGGAAAAAUCAAUUAAAAAAACUGUCUUCAAUGCUUUUGCUUGUGCUAUAUCUUACACUUUUUCAGUGCUUUGGUUCCGCUUUUACACAAGAAAAGCUCUGAUAAAACAUUCCACUGUUCUCAAAUAUCUUAAUUUGUAUUUUUCUACACAAAAUAAAAUAAAAACUCAAUAAACAAAUCAAGAAUAAAGAAAAUGAAUAAAUCAUUCAGUAAUAAUCAAUACAAUAAUAAUAAAACAGCAUAUAAGAAAAACUUAUAGAGAGAAAUGAGAAAUGAUUUUUUUCAGAUUCAAAUGAACAGUAUUAACAGUUAUUUAACCUUUAACAUGAGCAUUAAUGAAACUACAUAAUUUUACCCAAUUAGCAAGUUAGCAUCGUACUCGUUAGCAUUGUUACAUCUGGCAGCAGCGUCGGUAACUUUGACCACAUGCUUGAUGAGCUGCUGCUUUAUCUUGUGACUUGUAUUUACAGUUUUAGAGAGCUCUGUGCGCCUCCAGAGGGUAUCAUGUACCCAGAAAUGACAGCGGAGCUUCAGAUUUUCAGAGCAGUACAGCUCAAUGACCGUGGUCAUCUCAGUCAUGGAUGAGAGAGAAAGCAAAAGGGUAUUGGGUAUAGGGUAUUGAUUGAGGUAGCUUUCACUUUAACAUGAAUAUGAACUGACAAAGACAGGAGGUGCAGGUCAUAGUAUACUUGCACACUGCUUGCGUGCCAAACUUGCGAGGGAAAGUUCUCCUGCCUGCGCAGCGGGGACAUGUUUGCUACCCAUGAACAGGAAAUCUUGCUUUGUCUGCAUUCUUCCAAUUGUGCAUCUACAAAUAACACAGUAAGUAAAAACUAACUAAUCUCUAUUUUUUACAGCAGAAUGAAGCCACCUGACUGAAAUCAAACUGGCUAGCUAGCAAGUGCCUGAUUUUCAGUGCCACUCAUCAGUGAGGCUAAGAUUUGAAUAAUGUUAGCAACAUUUUUACCGUUGAUUUUUUUCUUCCAUUAAAUUUUCUUCCAGUUAAUUUUACAAACUGGUCACUCAGCAAAGCAGGGGAGAGAAAGAGCACGUCCAAAAUAUUUUUACAUCGAGCUGACAGAAUUAAGGACUUAUCUCGAACAAACUAAACACUUGGUGGUUGAUGGAAGAGUUAAAUGAGUAACAGAGAUGGCUGUGGUGGGUUUUAUUUGACUUUCUGUCAACGUUUACAUGAGGUGUAACGAUUUGUAUUAUGAUUAGACUGCGUUACGUUACGUUACGUUACGUUAUUUUACUUUACGUUACUUUAGGUUACGUUAGUUGCCGUGCCGCACCAACUGACAGUGAAGAUAAGAAAAUCAAAUGACCUUUUCUUUUCAUUCUCAGGUACAUCCACGCCCAUUUUGAGUUGCUUACAGACACCAAUGGGCUUCGUAGCUUGGAACUCAGUAUUGAGGAACGUGGAAGAGCCAUCACAGAAUACUUCAGAGUAAAACUGACCAACAAACAUAUCCUCUGUAACAGCGAAGGUACAGAGAUGGUUCAGCUGCUCCUGGCACACUUCAGAGAAGUGCAGUGUCUGCCUUUGUAGCCGACAUUGAAACAACCUUCACUCCUGCUGCAAGUCCUCGUCUGAUACUGCUUGUUUCAGGUGGAACAGAGAAUGUCAAUAUUGGAUGCUGGAUGAUCACUCUGGAGGGGCGUAUAAUAUCUCAGGGCAUCACGCCAUCCUUUUUGAUGGGACUGGCUGCUUUUGCAGUCUACUACAUAUUCAACCUUCAACAUCCAGAGGGGGCAGCUUGUACUCUGGAAUGUAUUCACAGUUGCUUCAUUCAUAUCAAUCCAGAGAGAGGAUGGAAGACCACCUGAGGAAAGGGUGUCUCCAAGAAGACUGGUAUGAUGGUUCCAGAAGAAGUCUGCCACAGUGAAUACACAUGUCUCCACACUACUGAAGAACCUCAUGGACUUUGAAUAGGACUUCAUAUACGUAGAGCAUCAACACUGCUAGCCAUAGAGACCAACAACGGCCGGGAACAUGAUGAUCAUCUCUCUCUGACUAAAUAAUCUUUGCUUUGAAUCAGGACUGUCCACGCCUACUCAGACGAAGAUAAACAUGCACCUACCUUGCAGAACUCUUUAGGUAAAGGUAAAACGCAAGCCUCAAAGGACUCUAUUGAGGUAAAGAACAAGCCUACCUAACCACUUUACUAAGAGACUAUGUUACAGAACUCUUUUAAAAGGUCUUGUUUUUCCCCAAAUGUUGCCAUUGAUGCAUAUUUAAGUUAUAUAAGUUCUUGCUGAGAUGCUGUAUAUUUCCAUACAUGGCAGGAAAUUGAUGUUCUGUAUAUAUAACUGCUUUUUGAUAGAACAUAUGUGUACCUCACAGGACUAUUUUAAGUUGGAAAAACACCAGCAUACCUACAGUUUUCUUCAGAAAUUUUGCAAUUGAUGAAUAUUUUCAUAUUCAUAUUCAGUUCUUACUGGUGUGUAUUUUCACAAUGGUCUUGGAAAAGUGUGUUUUCAAACUGUUCUUACUGAUACAUGGUUGCAAACAGCAGAGAAUACAUUGGAGUACAUUUAGAUACAGUACACAUUCAUAAGCAUUCCUCACACAAUUUGUUAGUCACUUACUGUGUUUGCCGUGUAUUAGUUGCUUCGGUAUUCAGCCCAAUUGUUUGAUCGAAGGUAAAGUUCAAUAUGGUAAGAUAAGACACUAUGAAAAAGAAUAGUAUGGAAACGGUUUUGUUGUGUUUUCAUGUCUGGUAAGGUCUCAUACAUGCAUUUGAAGAAUUUAUUUAGUUUAAUUAUCUGGGAUAUCUAAGGGUUUUUAGUUUCUUUGAUUAUUCUUAUUGUAUUUUACAGUAGCAGUAUUCAUGUUGACACUGCCCGUUUAAAUAAAUACGUAUUUGUGUGAUUUAUAUUCUUUGUAAAUUCUCUGUAAUUUAACAGGAAAAUUGUUACAGUGUAAUUUUACAGUAGUAAGUCUUUAAUUGAGAAUAAUGUAGGAACUGUAAAAUAACAGUAUAUUACUGUAAUGUUAUACUAUCUACAGCACAGUACUGUAAUACUUUUACAGUAGUAUACUGUUGUUGUCGAUCACAGUAGCACACCGUAAAAUAACAGUUUGAAGCUGGCGAUUGUAGCUGCCAGUAGUGUACUGUAAUUUAACAGGAACAUUUGUUACAGUGUGCAGUUAAAUGAAUAAUUGUGUUGAGUCUUUGUACCUGUGAGCAUGUAGAAGUCAUUGAAGUAGACAGGGUUGUCCUCCUACAUUAGUCACCAGAGACAAAUUCAUACUGGAAAAUCAGUGUGACAGCACAAAUUCCACACACAAAAAAAACAGUUUUGUGUCAAGCCACCUCUUGGGCGAGGUUGGAGGCUCCUCCAAAGAGAAAGGCCAUGUUUCCUGCCACAGCUAAAGCAUGGCCGUAUCUGUCACAAAAACACAGACAGUGCAGAGAUGGAAGUGUUACAGUGUUUUGUGCCAUAAAUGAUUAACACUGUAUAAAAAAAAGAAAAAGCGCUAGUUAAAAGAGGCGUAAUAAGUGGGCUCACGUUACUCACGGUCUCACGCUCCUAUAAGUCGAGAUCUAUAACCAAACAUGUGCUUUCAUUAUUGAUAGGCCUGUCUCUCCCUACUUUGCAACGUCCUUCCAGUGUGCAGGACAAUCACAGGAAUAAAAGUAAGGAGAUAUUCUCUUUUUGUAUUACAAUCAUAGAAUUAUUGGAUUUAAUAGAGGAGGAACCGUACCUCGCCCAGAUGUGGGAUACCGGGGCCUCACCCUGGAGCCAGGCCCGGGGGUGCCUGGUGCCUGGGCCCAGCAUGAAGGAGCCACACGGGCUCUCCCCCUCGUACACCCACUACCUACGGGGGCAAGCAUAAGGGUCCGGUGCAUUGUGUGUUGGGUGGCGGUCAAGGGCGCCACCAUCCUACUGAGACUGCUGCCCCCGCAACCUGGACCCGGAUAAGCGGACGAAAAUGGAUGGAUGGAUUUAAUCUUUUUAUUUAUUUAUCUUUAAUAUAUUUGUGUCACUGUCACGCCCUGUGUGGGUUCCCUCGUGACAGUUUGUUUGGUUUCCUUUCUGGACUCUUAUUUUGUAUUUGACUUCCUGUUUUGCCUUUUCUGCCUCCGUUGUCUUAGUUACCCACACCUGUCCCUAAUUUGAGUAUCUAUUUAGUUCAGGUGUGUGCGUCUCCCUGUGUGGGAUUAUUAUCGUUUGUCCGUCAGCUACCUGAGUUGCUUUGUUCUUCUGUUGCUAUUAUUGCACAGAAUAAAUAUUAUUUACCUGCACU
Non-coding RNA from Doryrhamphus excisus (bluestripe pipefish), 4595 nucleotides. Lineage: Eukaryota; Metazoa; Chordata; Actinopteri; Syngnathiformes; Syngnathidae. The record is from RefSeq and is a predicted model, not a curated record.